This is a long non-coding RNA of Carya illinoinensis, 1063 nucleotides long. RefSeq lists it as uncharacterized. The transcript has 3 exons. The record is from RefSeq and is a predicted model, not a curated record. NCBI's taxonomy places the organism in Eukaryota, Viridiplantae, Streptophyta, Magnoliopsida, Fagales, Juglandaceae.
UCAGAAAAGCAGACAAUUUUCUGACUAUAGGAGAGUCACCAGCUAGGGAUAGGAUACGGCCGUACGUGUAUGCCAAGCCUCGAUCUUCGAGUUUGGAUAACAUGGUCACGUUGUCUCUUUGUCUCCGUCCCGGCCUGUCUCACCGUAUAUAAAAUCCAUUCAUGACAUUCAUUUCUUCAUCCAUUUCUUUUCUGCUACCUAUCUACAACUCUGAACUCUCUCGUCUAGCUCCUCGUAGUUUGGAUUACAUCUCUUUCAAGCUUCUUGCGGGAGAGUGGAGUUUUUUCGUAAGCAGGAAAAGAUGUUGGGGAUAUUCAACAAAGAUUUGGUUCAGCCACCUCGGGAGCUAAAUAGCCCGGCGGCCCCGGCUCCAUCGAAUUCUUCUGCGAAGUCCAAGCUUUCACAUGAGAUUGUGAAGAGUUUUGUUUCUCAAUCUAGCAAUGCCUUCUCCAUCAGCUUUGAAAAUGCAACAUCUUUUGCUUAUGUUACACCAGAGAAACCAUAUUCCAUUCAUCAGAGAUUGCUGUGUUGUAUGGACGAUAUAUACUGCAUUUCUUGGGGAACCUGAACAAUCUAUACAGUCUCAUCAAGCAGUAUGGCCUAUCAAAGGGCACCAAUGAGGCCAUUUCCGUGACCGAGGCCCAUACCCGGCCGAUCAGGUUCUCAAAGAUCUGGAUGGAAGCUUUGGAUAUGUGGUCUACGAUAACAAGGCAAAAACUGUUUUUGCUGCACUGAAAAAAUGCGAGAAACGUGCGGUGCAGCAUUUUGGAAGGCAUUCUUGUUGUUUGAAACUGAAUGCGUGUUAUGAUUAUUAUGGUCUCUGUUUCUCUUCACACGGUUUGACGUUUGGUAAGUGCGACCGACUUUAUCAAUUCCCACUUAUAUUUUUUUUGGUUAUUUAUUUUAAAAUUUAUUUUAUUACUUCGUAGUCCGCAUGAGGACGAAUUUGGGCGGCAAGGAGUCUCUAUGGCGCCCCCAAAUGGGAGGAAAAAUCGAAGUAAAAGUGUAACAGCCCGCUAGAAAUUCAAUUAAAGAAUUUCUAUUGACUUUAGGAACUUCGUGA